AACAAGUCAAAAUCACUUUAGUCGUAACAAAAUUCUUGCGCAAAACCGUGCAAGAAUUUCCAGGUUCCUCAGAUAUUUCCCUUGAAACAAUCUCUGAUGGAUUUGAUGAAGGGGGGAGGGCUAAGGUUGAGAGUUCAGAAGCAUACCUGACUCGGUUUCGUCUGGUCGGAACAGAAACUUUAUCAGAACUUGUGGAAAAGCACAAAACAGAUUGUGCUGUAGAUUGUAUAAUAUAUGAUCCAUUUCUUUCAUGGGGUCUUGAUGUAGCCAAGAAAUUUGGAUUAGUUUCUGCUGCAUUUUUCACUCAAUCUUGUGCUGUGGACAAUAUAUAUUAUCAUGUGUGUAAAAAGGAGUUGAAACUUCCUCUCUCAGAGACUGAAAAAAUUGUGAUUCCUGGAUUACCAGUACUGGAACCUUCAGAUUUGCCUUCUUUUGUUUAUGUUCAUGGAUCAUACCCUGCAGCUUUUGAAAUGAUUCUGAAUCAGUUUCAGAAUCUGGAGAAAGCAGACUGGAUUCUUGUUAAUACUUUUCACAAGUUGGAAGAAGAGGUAUAUAUCCAAUCAUUUCAUUUGUAGAUUUCAAUUUGUAGUCGACAUUAUUAAACAUAAUACCUCAUCAAAGGUUUCCAACUGCAGCAUGCCUCUUGAACAUAAUCCAACUCUAAUUUUGUAACUGUCUACUUCAAUGCUUUUAUGCUAGGUGAUUAAUUGGAUGGCGAAGUUUUUACCAGUGAAGGCAAUCGGCCCAACCGUACCUUCAAUGUAUUUAGACAAGAGGCUUCAAGAUGACAAAGAGUAUGGUCUUAGUAUCUUCAAGCCUAUCACUGAUGUCUGCAUGAAAUGGCUUAAUGAACGAGCAAGUAGAUCGGUUGUUUAUGUUUCGUUUGGAAGUUUGGCUGAAUUAGGAGCCGAGCAAAUGGAAGAAUUGGCACAGGGCUUAAAAUUAAGCAAUGAGUACUUCUUGUGGGUGGUUAGAUCAUCAGAAGAAGCUAAGCUUCCCAAUAAAUUUUCAGAGACGUCCAAGAAAGGACUAAUCGUGUCAUGGUGUCCACAGUUGGAAGUUUUUGCACACAAGGCGAUCGGGUGCUUCAUCACACAUUGUGGUUGGAAUUCCACAUUGGAGGCAUUAAGUUUGGGAGUUCCUAUGGUGGGAAUGCCUCAAUGGACUGACCAAAGCACAAACGCAAAGUUUGUUAAGAAUGUUUGGAAAGUGGGAGUCAAGGCUAGGCAAAACGAGAAAGGUAUAGUCGAGCAAACAGAGAUUAUCAGUUGCAUAAAGAAUAUCAUGGAGGGAGACAGCGCGGAAGAGAUCAGGAAAAAUGCGAAAAAAUGGAAGGAAUUUGCGAGAGAGGCAGUUGAUGAGGGAGGGAGUUCAGAUAAACACAUUGAAAAUUUUGUUUCUUCACUGAUUAAUCCUCCCACAAAAAUAAUUUGAUAGACCAUAGCAGCACUCCCAUUUCAUUUUGGUUGUGUAGUACUUAGCACUAUGAUGAACAAGAUUUUAGUUUAUUUUCCUUCUUUAAUACAGUCGACUAGUUUCCAGUCCUCUUUACAAACGAGGUCAUGGAUAAGUUAAACACGGUAGCAUGUUUGGUAUGUAGAAACUUUGUGGUUCCCAUAUGUUGUUGAAUUUAUUGGACACAAAUUCUUGUUCAGGACACUAGUAAAAUAUGAUAAUGAUAAUUGUCGAAGAGAUCUGAAGGACAUCCAUUGUUUACAAGACCCUCGAUUUUUGGUUAUUCUGUUUAUAUAGAAACUAAAACUUGCAUAGAACACUGUUAGGAUUUAAUUGUAUUGGCAAUUUUUUAGACCAAAGGACAAAUAUAAAAAGUUAUAAAAGUCAAGGAGUCAAUUGGGAUGUUGUAUAGAUGAAUUAGGAAUCUUAGCAUUCGAGUUGGAACGAGGAGGAAAGAUUUGUCGGAUUUACCCUCACCUAUUGCCUUUUCGAUGCUCGAGCAGAAAAAAUAGAAACAUUAUGCCCAGCUCUCGCUCGACCGACACACCGGUUGCUCGCUUGUCGCUAGCUUGGCGCUCAAGCGAUGGUGUUACGCGUAAAACAAAUAAUUCGUGUUUUUCAAGAAUUUUACCCUACCCAUGCUACUUAAAUAUUUUCUACUAUAUAUAUCCAAGCCAUAACACGUUUUGUUUGUAGUUGUUCAUUAUAUUACUUCCUCAUAAUAUCAUUCCAAGAUCUAACAACACGUUCUAGCAUUGAGAUUAAUCCUUUGAUUCUUGAGAUCAUUCAACGACAACUUUGGGAAAACAUCAAAUUCACAUAAUCCAAAGCACCAACUUCCUAUACACAUACGGAAAGUACUUUCUCAAUAACUUUCAAAGGUUGUCGAAGAUUGAGGGAGGUUGGACCAGAAGAACAAGAAGAGUACAAAAAAGUUGUUCUUGAUGAUCCACAGGAAAUUGGAAAUUUCAGAAGAUUAAGAACAGGGGUGAGUACAACACGUUCCAGCAGACUUGAAGAUUGUAGAAAUUAGAUUAGCGAGUCUAAUGGAUUUUCUAAGUUGGAUCAUAUUGUAAGUUCACAUUAUUUACUGGCUUGAUUUCAAAGUUUUUACCCAGUUGGAUUUUCUCUAUCAACAUAUUUUAUGUUGUUUAUUGCUUUCAUGUUAUUGAUUGUGGUAUUCAAACCAUAUGAUAAUCUGACACGACUGAUUAACCAUCUAGAAACAAUUAAAAAGUGAUUUGUUGCUUUUAAUUGUAUAAUUCCACAUGUUUGUCAAAAUAAAUUGAUUAAAUAUAAACUUUCAAGUCGAAUCAAAGCCUUUCAAGCACUAAGACUUAAUAUUAAAUUAGCCUUUCGAUGGAGAAAGGAAAAGAAUAAUGCAAAGCAUUCGUUGCUUAAUCGUGCCAUUUCCGAUCCAAGUUCACAUAAAUCCUAUGCUCUAAUUCGUAAAGCAUUUGAGGCAUAAAGGAACAUUUGUUCUAGGCUACGCAUGAAUAUUCUAGUUUUAUUUCUGUCCAAACAAUUUCUGAAUUCGAUGGGGGAGGGACUGUUGCGGCAGAGAGCUCAGAAGCAUAUUUGGAUCAUUUUCGUCAAGCUGGGACAGAAACUGUGGAAGAACUUAUCGAAAGGCUUUAAAGCUCUAGCUGCCCCUACGAUACAUUUCUUCCAUGGCAUCUUGAUUUAGCUAAGAAAUUGGGAUUGGUUGGUGCUGCUUUUUUCACACAAUCUAUUGGGAAUGGUUGUUAAUCAGUUCCAGAAAAUAUUGAAAAAAGCGGACUGGCUACUUGCCAACAUCUUCCACAAAAAUGGAGGAAGAUGUUAAAUUAAUUGAACAUCAUUUUCAAGAAUUUGUUUCAAGGAAAAAUCUCCCUGUCCGUCCAGGGCCACAAUGGCGCCCCUGUCCGUCCAAGGCCCAUAUGGCCCUAGACAUAUGGCAGGUCCGUUGUUUCAAUAUGCAUACGCCUCUAUUUUCUAACAUUGUUUCCCAAACAUACAAAAAGAAGUUGGGACCCACACACGAGGACUUAAAUGAAAUAAACAAGAUUAUCUUUCUUUUUCUUUUUUUCCAAUUACUGUCCAAUAUACAAACUCGUUUUUAGUGAUGGAGUAUUUAUAAAUGAAAAGAAAUGAUAAAAAAGACGUUGGAUACUUUGCACCAAAAUGGUACAAAGUAUAGUAUUACAUUAGAGUUAUUUUGCACCAAAAAAUGAUGGAUUUUUAUUUUUUGGGAGAUGCAUCGAAGAUGGCCUUAUUGCAAACACACCUACCUCCUGGAAAAGAAAAGCACGUGAUAGAGGGGCCUUAAACUACCAAAUGGUUCAAAUCCAAGAGUUCUGUUGUCAAGAACCCAACUAUAGACUAUAGAGCUUGUUUGACUAAGCAAAAAAUUAAGGGUUAUUUUGCUUGUACAGCUUGCUUACAGUCCCCUCACGUGACGGAGAUAUUCGUGAUGGGACUGUCCACUCAAAAAUUGAUAUUUAAGUUACUAUAAAUUAUUUUCUUCCCAAAACAGCUUUGGCUUCUCUAAAAUUUUGAAAAGUAGUGUUCGUACUUAGUGUAUAAUACUGACCCCGACAUUUAAUACAUUAUCUGAAGGGACACGAGGAAAUCUCAAUUUCAAUUGCACCACAUAUUUUCUGUGUAUUCUGUCUAUAUAAAGAACACUAUAACUCUGGAGUAAAUUAGGGUCAGAAUGGAGAAAGGAGAAGAAGAAUGCAAAGCUCAUUGCUACACUCAUUUUUAUCAAAAUGCAUUUUUCUCUCUCUUCUUUUCAACCACACAUUCUUUAUUAAAAUAAUAUUAUACGUAAAUCAAAAAAAAUUUCUUAUUUUUCAACCACACAUUUCCCAUCAAUUUACUAUUCAAAAAUGCAUUUUCACAUAAAAAUUCCUACCAAACACCCUCUUAGUCUUACUUUAAAAAAAAGAGUAAGCAAAAAAAUAAAUACUUGACACUCGAAUGGACAUAUCCGUGAUUUAGAGCAAACAAAUUUAACGCGUAGAAAUAAAUUAUUAUAAAAUUGACAAGCUUGUUUCGGACAUUAAUUACAGUAUGCAAUUUGACUUAAUUAGAAUGAGAGUCACUUUGGUGGUAACAUUUGAAACGACUACUUGAUAAGGUUGUGGGGCGUAUGGUUGGAAGUUUCGCAAUCAAUAAGAAACAAAGUUUGACACGGAUGUGUUAAAAAUAAAAUGUUUGUGUUGGGAAUUGAUGCUUAUGCGUUCUAGCUGUGAGCACACAGCUCGGAUGACAGCCCCCCUCAUAUAUGGGGGGUCCACAAAUUUUUUAUUGAAUGCCCCCCACAUGUGGGGGGCUGUAUAUAUACAGUCCAACUCAGUUCUUAUGUAUUUUUGCAAAUAUGCGUAAUGAAAAAAGAAGGAAAGUUUUUGUAUUUACGUGUAAUAUUAUUAUAUUGAAAAAUAUGUGGCUAAAAGAUGAAAGAGAAAAAUACAUUUUAAAUAAAAUGGAGCCAAAUAGGGGGUAAGUUAAACAUCUCUAACAAAGCUUGAACCGUGAGUUUAUAAAUACUUGGACAAUCUCUCCUUAUAAGUCGAUUCAACAAUAUUUGAUGCUAGAGCAAAACCCUUCUGCGACGACCCUCCGCGCACAAGAUGACUUUGAGGAGAGGAUAAAAUCUUGUAAUUGGGAAGGAAAAACACAACGCUAACACGUUUACAUACAGAAAUGUCACAGGAUUUGUCUUUAAAUACUUGCACAGGCAUCCCAUAGAAAUGAUAAGGGAAAAAUGGAGAAAGGAAAAGAAAAUCACAUAGCUCACUGUUUAAUCUUGCCAUAUCCAAGUCAGGGACACAUAAAUCCUAUGCUCCAAUUCGCUAAACGCUUGAGGCAUAAACAAGUCAAAAUCACUUUAGUCGUAACAAAAUUCUUGCGCAAAACCGUGCAAGAAUUUCCAGGUUCCUCAGAUAUUUCCCUUGAAACAAUCUCUGAUGGAUUUGAUGAAGGGGGGAGGGCUAAGGUUGAGAGUUCAGAAGCAUACCUGACUCGGUUUCGUCUGGUCGGAACAGAAACUUUAUCAGAACUUGUGGAAAAGCACAAAACAGAUUGUGCUGUAGAUUGUAUAAUAUAUGAUCCAUUUCUUUCAUGGGGUCUUGAUGUAGCCAAGAAAUUUGGAUUAGUUUCUGCUGCAUUUUUCACUCAAUCUUGU
Molecule: long non-coding RNA, 5623 nt
Filed under: Olea europaea (common olive)
Lineage: Eukaryota; Viridiplantae; Streptophyta; Magnoliopsida; Lamiales; Oleaceae
Description: long non-coding RNA (OEUR_LNC010290)
Source: RNAcentral